Long non-coding RNA from Erigeron canadensis, 1770 nucleotides. RefSeq lists it as uncharacterized. The record is from RefSeq and is a predicted model, not a curated record. NCBI's taxonomy places the organism in Eukaryota, Viridiplantae, Streptophyta, Magnoliopsida, Asterales, Asteraceae. The transcript is spliced from 9 exons.
UUCCCUCUUUCCCCAACCGUGUCUCCUUUCUUCCCAAAAUUAUGAAUUCUGGCAUCAAAAUGUAUUUGAGUGACAUGGAUGAUGUCUAAGGGAGAAAGAUAGCGCUACAGUUUUCGAAAUACUUCCCUGCUCAAAGAAUUUGAGUGACAAGGAUGAUUAUUCCAUCAUGAUAUGAGAAGUAUCUUUCAGAAAAAUUAGAGGUCAGGAGGAAAGAUGAAAGGCCAUCUACACUGACAUAGUAGACGGAAAAACAUUUCUCGGAGGAAACUGGCAAGUUUGCUAAACUCACUAUGCAGGUCAUGGAGUUCAAAUUUGUGAAAAUAGAAGUUCAUUCCAUGUGUUGGGAAUACCAGGUGCUAAUAAUGAUAAUGAAGGGAGUUAUAGUCAGUUACAGAGUUUUCAGUAUCCUGGUGAUGUUAAGAUAGACGGGAGAUGGUUACUUAGGGCUAAUUCUGAAAUCCCUACAGAUUAUAAGGAUAAAAGGCUUAGCAAGGGUUUCUUCUGAGAUGGGGCUGGUGAAAGCUCGUGGAUAGGUACCUAGAGAAAAGAGGCAAGAUCAACCCAUACUAGGACUUGAUGUUUGGGGAAGGAGGUUUUCCAAUCCAAUUGGGUUGUCUGCUGGCUUUGAUAAAAAUACAAUUCAUUAUCUUUCGGUUAUCGGAUGAUUAGCAUUGGAAGUGGCAAUUCUGGUCCUUCUACUUAAGAAUGGGUUGAUUCAGGCUAUGUUUUAUCUCUGACAGGGAUCAGAUUAUAUCAAACACUACCAUUUCAAGGCCAGAGGUAGUGCAGGGAAAUCCUGUAUCACAGGAAAGUGGUGGACUGAGUGGGAAGCCUCUUUUCAGUUUGUCAAAUAACAUCCUAAGUGACAUUUAUAUUCUAACAAAGCUACAUCAAUCUUUAUAUUGAAUGUUCACCAUUUAUUUUUUUUUGACAAACUAUAUUGGGUGUAUGGGCUAUCUGCAUUUAAAAAUUUAUCCAUCUCUCAUACUAGCGUAUAUAUCUAUAUUCUUUAACAAUUCAAUUGUAUUUGAUUUUUUUCAGGGAAAGAUCCCUUUGGUUGGCUGUGGAGGUGUGAGCAGGAUUGUGUCUGAAUUGCAUAUCAAUUUUCAAUAAGUUCUAGCUCUUAUUAUGACAUUACAUGAUAAAUUUUUUACCAAAUGUGUACUUGAUUAAGUGGUGAGGAUGCUUACAAAAAGAUAAGAGCAGGGGCAACUCUUGUUCAGAUAUAUUCAGCAUUUGCUUAUGGUGGUCCAGCCCUUAUACCUCGGAUAAAGUUAUGUACCUGUUGCUCAAGUUUGGAUUUCUUAUGAGAAUGAAUUAAAACCAUACGAUUUCUUAAGGAUGCUGCUCUCGAGUUUUUGAGAAAUUAAAUCUUUCAUAUAAUCUUUCGUAAUUACAAAACUGCUUGUAUAAUCUUUCAGGUUUGAAGCGACUACGUACUAUGGUUAGAUAUGUUUUUACUCUUUCAUAUAUGUACUUUACCAAGUGUUUUGUUCCUAGUUAAGUUUUUCUAUCUUGUUUGUAACUCGAUAUGGUGUCAGGAUUUUAUAGAUGCUAGACAUGAAGUUGAGAAGUUGCACUUGCUUGUGAUGCUCGAAAGGUCAUGCUCAAGAAACGGAUAUGCUUAAGUAAUGUUUUUUUUUUUAGCAACAAUUCUUGUAAUUAAUUGUUUGUUGUAAUGAGUUGGUUAUGAGUAUAAAAACUCCUAUCUAUGUAGAAAAUCUUUAAGGUUUUGUUCUAUUUAAUAUCAAUGGUUGGUUAGAAUAACAU